GCGGGGGUAACAUAAUAGAGUGAGUGUACUAAGGCUUCAACCCUUGGGUGUGCGAGUUCAAACCUCGUCCCCCGCUCCA
RNAcentral lists this transfer RNA (79 nucleotides) under Candidatus Altimarinota bacterium. RNAcentral describes it as "tRNA-Gly". It matches the Rfam family "tRNA". From Rfam's summary of the family: Transfer RNA (tRNA) molecules are approximately 80 nucleotides in length. Their secondary structure includes four short double-helical elements and three loops (D, anti-codon, and T loops). Further hydrogen bonds mediate the characteristic L-shaped molecular structure. tRNAs have two regions of fundamental functional importance: the anti-codon, which is responsible for specific mRNA codon recognition, and the 3' end, to which the tRNAs corresponding amino acid is attached (by aminoacyl-tRNA synthetases). tRNAs cope with the degeneracy of the genetic code in two manners: having more than one tRNA (with a specific anti-codon) for a particular amino acid; and 'wobble' base-pairing, i.e. permitting non-standard base-pairing at the 3rd anti-codon position. Lineage: Bacteria; Candidatus Altimarinota. The record is from RNAcentral.